CCUACGGGAGGCAGCAGUGGGGAAUUUUGGACAAUGGGCGAAAGCCUGAUCCAGCCAUUCCGCGUGAGUGAAGAAGGCCUUCGGGUUGUAAAGCUCUUUCGCAAGGGAAGAAAACUUAGAUACUAAUAUUAUCUGAGGUUGACGGUACCUUGAUAAGAAGCACCGGCUAACUACGUGCCAGCAGCCGCGGUAAUACGUAGGGUGCGAGCGUUAAUCGGAAUUACUGGGCGUAAAGCGUGCGCAGGCGGUUUUGUAAGUCAGAUGUGAAAUCCCCGAGCUCAACUUGGGAACUGCGUUUGAAACUACAAGACUAGAAUAUGUCAGAGGGGGGUAGAAUUCCACGUGUAGCAGUGAAAUGCGUAGAGAUGUGGAGGAAUACCAAUGGCGAAGGCAGCCCCCUGGGAUAAUAUUGACGCUCAUGCACGAAAGCGUGGGGAGCAAACAGGAUUAGAUACCCUGGUAGUCCACGCCCUAAACGAUGUCUACUAGUUGUUGGUGGAGUAAAAUCCAUGAGUAACGCAGCUAACGCGUGAAGUAGACCGCCUGGGGAGUACGGUCGCAAGNUUAAAACUUAAAGGAAUUGACCGGNNGAGAGNGCGAGACGACGACGAGGGAGGAGG
Molecule: ribosomal RNA, 620 nt
Filed under: uncultured bacterium
Lineage: Bacteria
Description: bacterial SSU rRNA
Rfam family: Bacterial small subunit ribosomal RNA
Source: RNAcentral